Long non-coding RNA from Pleuronectes platessa (European plaice), 1666 nucleotides. RefSeq lists it as uncharacterized. The record is from RefSeq and is a predicted model, not a curated record. NCBI's taxonomy places the organism in Eukaryota, Metazoa, Chordata, Actinopteri, Pleuronectiformes, Pleuronectidae. The transcript has 3 exons.
GUGUGUGUGUUGGCAGGCUCUUAUCUCAGCUCGCAGGAUGUGACCACACCCAGACCGAAGGUAACGGCUGCUGUCAUUGGCCGACACGUUCAACAUCACAUCGUCUACAUAAAGUGUUUGUUGUGAUGUUUCCUUCUUUCCUUACCUCCUUUCCUUUACAACGUCCUCCUUCCUUCCUACAACCUCAUCCUUCCUUUCUUUUGUCGUCCGUCCUCUCCUGCUUCCUCCUUUCCUUUGCUUAACCACUUUUUUCCUUCUCACCUGGUCACAUCCCAUGCCCGUCUGUCUCCUCCUUUCCUUAGCUCACUAUGUCCUUCCCUCCUUAACUCCCUUCUUUCCUCCUUUCCUUGCUGAGCCUCCUUCUUGUCCUUUCUGUUUUCCGUCUUCUCUUCUGUUCUUCCUUUGCCUCCUCCUUUUCUGUGCCUGCGUUUCCUUCCUUCCCUUCCUCCCUUUCCUGCUGGCCAUAUUUCUUUCAUCCUACCUCCUACCACCUCCAUUCUUUCCCUCCUUCCUUGUUCCCUCCUUCCCUGUUCCCUCCUUCCUUCCUCUCUUUCUCAGCCACACUACAGUUACUGUGUUUCUGUUGUCAUGACGACAGCAGGGAUUUCAUCGAUGCUCCAAAAUGCCAGCUGCUGGUCGUCAUGACAACAGAAACAGGGGUGAUGCAAAACCUGAAGUUCCUUACAUCCAUCCUUCUCUCCUUUCCUACGUCCUCGUCUCCGUACAUCCAUCCUUCUCUCCUUCCACUCUUUAUCCCUUCCUAAUCCCUCCUUCCUUUCUUUCUUUCUUUUAGUUCCAACCCUACAUCCUUCCAUCCUUACUCCACUUGUCUUUGCUUCCUUGUUUUUGCUUCCAGCCUUCCUUUCCUUCAUCCCUCUUUCCUUCUCUAUCUGCAGCCUUCCUUUCCUUCAUCCUUCUUUCCUUCUCUAUAUGCAGCCUUCCUUUCCUUCAUCCUUCUUUCCUUCUCUAUCUGCAGCCUUCCUUUCCUUCAUCCUUCUUUCCUUCUCUAUCUGCAGCCUUCCUUUCCUUCAUCCCUCUUUCCUUCUCUAUCUGCAGCCUUCCUUUCCUUCAUCCUUCUUUCCUUCUCUAUCUGCAGCCUUCCUUUCCUUCAUUCUUCUUUCCUUCUCUAUCUGCAGCCUUCCUUUCCUUCAUCCUUCUUUCCUUCUCUAUCUGCAGCCUUCUUUUCCUUCAUCCUUCUUUCCUUCUCUAUCUGUAGCCUUCCUUUCCUUCAUCUAUUUCUUCGUCUAAAACCUUCCUUCAGUAAAAUGAUGUAAAUAUCAUUAUUCUUUGCAGAGGACACACAGUUGUGUAUUACCGACUGCCGCUCUCAUUUUAAUUGUCGGACUCCACAAACAGAAGUCGUUCUCAGACCUGAGCUCCAGGUUCAGGGGAGAGGUGGAGCAGCUGGGUGCAGCAGACACAGACAGGAAGUGACCUGUUACCUCUGCUGCAGAGGUCAUGUGAUCAUGUGUACUGCUGACAGACUUCACACUGGGAGAUCAUCGGAUUCUUUUCUUCUGCAGUCACACAAAUGAUUUAAAGGUUUGAAUGCUGAAAGAUGGCCGAGGAGAGAGGAAGGUGUUGUGCUGAAUAAAGCUCGUCCAUCUGUCAUAUCAGCAACUUCAAAUUCCUGCAGUGAUGGAGCUGACGGUGUAGCAGCGAUGAC